CCGAAUUGUUGACACGAGUUGUUGCUGGUCCUCAAACGGGGGCAUGUGCACGCUCUGUUUUACACAUCCACUCACACCUGUGCACCCACUGUAGUUCUAUGGCCUGGGGGGCUCCGUCCUCUUGCUGCGGUUCUACAUCUUUACACACACACUGUAAUAAAGUCUUAUGGAAUGCAUGAUGCGUUUAACGCAAUACAAUA
RNAcentral lists this unclassified non-coding RNA (200 nucleotides) under uncultured Tomentella. Its description in RNAcentral is "sequence contains ITS1". The record is from RNAcentral. Lineage: Eukaryota; Fungi; Basidiomycota; Agaricomycetes; Thelephorales; Thelephoraceae.